AUUGAACGCUGGCGGCGUGGAUAAGACAUGCAAGUCGAACGCUGAUUUGAGGGUAGCAAUAUUCUCAAGUCGGAGUGGCGCAAGGGUGCGUAACACGUGGGCAAUUUGCCAAGAAGUUUGGGAUAACUCGCUGAAAGGCGAGCUAAUACCGGAUGUUAUGUUUGGGAGGCAUCUCUUGAACCUUAAAGUUGGGGACCGUAAGGCCUGACGCUUCUUGAUAAGCCCGCGGCCUAUCAGCUAGUUGGUGAGGUAACGGCUCACCAAGGCUAAGACGGGUAGCUGGUCUGAGAGGACGACCAGCCUCACUGGAACUGAGAUACGGUCCAGACACCUACGGGUGGCAGCAGUCGAGAAUUUUUUCUCAAUGGGCGAAAGCCUGAAGGAGCGACGCCGCGUGGGGGAUGAAUGGGCUUCGGCCCGUAAACCCCUGUCAUUUGCGAACAAUGUGCAUGAAAUUAACUAUUCGUGCAUUGCUUGUAGCAGAAGAGGAAGGGACGGCU
RNAcentral lists this ribosomal RNA (500 nucleotides) under uncultured bacterium. Its description in RNAcentral is "bacterial SSU rRNA". It matches the Rfam family "Bacterial small subunit ribosomal RNA", at positions 30 to 498 of the family's 1533-position model. The record is from RNAcentral.